Molecule: ribosomal RNA, 868 nt
Filed under: uncultured archaeon
Lineage: Archaea
Description: bacterial SSU rRNA
Rfam family: Archaeal small subunit ribosomal RNA
Source: RNAcentral
CUCCGGUUGAUCCUGCCGGACCCGACUGCUAUCAGAGUGGGACUAAGCCAUGCGAGUCAACGUAGCAAUACGUGGCAUACGGCUCAGUAACACGUAGUCAACAUGCCCAGGGGACGAGGAUAACCUCGGGAAACUGAGGAUAAACCUCGAUAGGCCAUGAUUUCUGGAAUGAUUCUUGGCUCAAACCUAUAUGGCCCCUGGAUUGGACUGCGGCCGAUCAGGCUGUUGGUGAGGUAAUGGCCCACCAAACCUAUUACCGGUACGGGCUCUGAGAGGAGGAGCCCGGAGAUGGGCACUGAGACAAGGGCCCAGGCCCUAUGGGGCGCAGCAGGCGCGAAACCUCUGCAAUAGGCGAAAGCCUGACAGGGUUACUCUGAGUGAUUUCCGUUAAGGAGAUCUUUUGGCACCUCUAAAAAUGGUGCAGAAUAAGGGGUGGGCAAGUCUGGUGUCAGCCGCCGCGGUAAUACCAGCACCCCGAGUGGUCGGGACGUUUAUUGGGCCUAAAGCAUCCGUAGCCGGUUCUACAAGUCUUCCGUUAAAUCCACCUGCUUAACAGAUGGGCUGCGGAAGAUACUAUAGAGCUAGGAGGCGGGAGAGGCAAGCGGUACUCGAUGGGUAGGGGUAAAAUCCGUUGAUCCAUUGAAGACCACCAGUGGCGAAGGCGGCUUGCCAGAACGCGCUCGACGGUGAGGGAUGAAAGCUGGGGGAGCAAACCGGAUUAGAUACCCGGGUAGUCCCAGCUGUAAACGAUGCAGACUCGGUGAUGAGUUGGCUUAUUGCUAACUCAGUGCCGCAGGGAAGCCGUUAAGUUUGCCGCCUGGGGAGUACGGUCGCAAGACUGAAACUUAAAGGAAUUGCCGGGGGAGCA